RNAcentral lists this ribosomal RNA (253 nucleotides) under uncultured bacterium. RNAcentral describes it as "partial 16S ribosomal RNA". It matches the Rfam family "Bacterial small subunit ribosomal RNA", at positions 524 to 776 of the family's 1533-position model. The record is from RNAcentral.
UACGUAGGGGGCAAGCGUUGUCCGGAAUCAUUGGGCGUAAAGAGCGUGUAGGCGGCCCGGUAAGUCCGCUGUGAAAGUCCAGGGCUCAACCCUGGGAUGCCGGUGGAUACUGCGGAGCUAGAGUACGGAAGAGGCGAGUGGAAUUCCUGGUGUAGCGGUGGAAUGCGCAGAUAUCAGGAGGAACACCAAUAGCGAAGGCAGCUCGCUGGGACGUUACUGACACUAAGGCGCGAAAGCGUGGGGAGCGAACAGG